RNAcentral lists this non-coding RNA (24 nucleotides) under Cricetulus griseus (Chinese hamster). The record is from RNAcentral. Lineage: Eukaryota; Metazoa; Chordata; Mammalia; Rodentia; Cricetidae.
AAAAGCUAUUAGCCAGGAUCAUGG